This 433-nucleotide ribosomal RNA is filed under the name uncultured bacterium. Its description in RNAcentral is "partial 16S ribosomal RNA". It matches the Rfam family "Bacterial small subunit ribosomal RNA", at positions 29 to 507 of the family's 1533-position model. The record is from RNAcentral.
AACGAACGCUGGCGGCAUGCCUAACACAUGCAAGUCGAACGAGACCUUCGGGUCUAGUGGCGCACGGGUGCGUAACGCGUGGGAACCUGCCCUUAGGUUCGGAAUAACUCCCCGAAAGGGGUGCUAAUACCGGAUAAUGUCUUCGGACCAAAGAUUUAUCGCCUUUGGAUGGGCCCGCGUUGGAUUAGCUAGUUGGUAGGGUAAAAGCCUACCAAGGCGACGAUCCAUAGCUGGUCUGAGAGGAUGAUCAGCCACACUGGGACUGAGACACGGCCCAGACUCCUACAGACGGCAGCGGUGGAGAAUAUGAGAGGAUGGCAGCAAGCAUGAUCAAGCAACGCCGCGGGAAGGAGGAAGACCUUAGAGUUGUGAAACUCUUUUCGCCGGGAUGAUAAUGACAGUACCGGGUGAAUAAGCUCCGGCUAACUCCGUG